This 253-nucleotide ribosomal RNA is filed under the name uncultured bacterium. Its description in RNAcentral is "partial 16S ribosomal RNA". It matches the Rfam family "Bacterial small subunit ribosomal RNA", at positions 524 to 776 of the family's 1533-position model. The record is from RNAcentral.
GACAGAGGGGGCAAGCGUUGCUCGGAAUCACUGGGCGUAAAGGGCGCGUAGGCGGGCUGUCAAGUUUGGGGUGAAAUCCCACGGCUCAACCGUGGAACUGCCUCAAAUACUGACGGUCUCGAGGGAGGUAGGGGCGAGCGGAACUGAUGGUGGAGCGGUGAAAUGCGUUGAUAUCAUCAGGAACUCCGGUGGCGAAGGCGGCUCGCUGGACCUUUUCUGACGCUGAGGCGCGAAAGCUAGGGGAGCAAACGGG